GAGGCGGUCUUGAAAACCGUUUGUCCGCAAGGGCGCGUGGGUUCGAGUCCCACCCUCU
RNAcentral lists this transfer RNA (58 nucleotides) under Caudoviricetes sp. RNAcentral's name for it is "tRNA-OTHER". The record is from RNAcentral. Lineage: Duplodnaviria; Heunggongvirae; Uroviricota; Caudoviricetes.